GACGAACCGUGCAAACGUUGUUCGGAAUCACUGGGCUUAAAGGGCGCGUAGGCGGGCAAGCAAGUCGAAGGUGAAAUCCCACGGCUCAACCGUGGAACUGCCGGGCAUACUGGCGAUCUUGAGGCAUUCAGGGGCGAGCGGAACAAAUGGUGGAGCGGUGAAAUGCGUAGAUAUCAUUUGGAACGCCAAUGGUGAAAACAGCUCGCUGGGAAUGAUCUGACGCUGAGACGCGAAAGCCAGGGGAGCGAACGGG
Molecule: ribosomal RNA, 253 nt
Filed under: uncultured bacterium
Lineage: Bacteria
Description: partial 16S ribosomal RNA
Rfam family: Bacterial small subunit ribosomal RNA
Source: RNAcentral